Long non-coding RNA from Ananas comosus (pineapple), 123 nucleotides. RefSeq lists it as uncharacterized. The record is from RefSeq and is a predicted model, not a curated record. The transcript has 3 exons. NCBI's taxonomy places the organism in Eukaryota, Viridiplantae, Streptophyta, Magnoliopsida, Poales, Bromeliaceae.
UCCGAAGAUCCUAUGCAAGGUUUCAAUGUUCGACUACAGGCUGAAGCAGAUACAGAUGAAGUUUUUGCACAGAUAACUUUAUUGCCGGAUGCAAAUCAAAGUGAGGUCUUAAGUCCAGACACC